ACGUCCAUGGUGAAGUGGUUAUCAUGCUUGCCUUCCACUUGGGGUAAUCAAGUCUGAGUCAGCAAGCGGGACGGGUUCGAUUCCCGUUGGGCGUA
Ceratobasidium sp. AG-Ba is the source of this 95-nucleotide non-coding RNA. The record is from the annotation of a GenBank genome assembly. NCBI's taxonomy places the organism in Eukaryota, Fungi, Basidiomycota, Agaricomycetes, Cantharellales, Ceratobasidiaceae.